CCUACGGGAGGCAGCCGUGAGGAAUAUUGGUCAAUGGGCGGAAGCCUGAACCAGCCAAGUCGCGUGAGGGAUUAAGGCCCUGCGGGUCGUAAACCUCUUUUGCCGGGGAGCAGUGGUCCGGAAGCGUCCGGACCGGGAGAGUACCCGGAGAAAAAGCAUCGGCUAACUCCGUGCCAGCAGCCGCGGUAAUACGGAGGAUGCGAGCGUUAUCCGGAUUUGGUGGGUUUUAAGGGUGCGUAGGCGGGCAUUUAAGCCGGCGGUCAAAUGUCGGGGCGCAAACCCGGCCUGCCGUCGGAAUGGGGGGCCUUGAGUGGGCGAGAAGUAUGCGGAAUGCGUGGUGUAGCGGUGGAAUGCAUAGAUAUCACGAAGAACCCCGAUGGCGAAGGCAGCAUACCGGCGCCCUACUGACGCUGAGGCACGAAAGUGCGGGUAUCGAACAGGAUUAGAUACCCCUGUAGGC
RNAcentral lists this ribosomal RNA (460 nucleotides) under uncultured bacterium. RNAcentral's name for it is "partial 16S ribosomal RNA". It matches the Rfam family "Bacterial small subunit ribosomal RNA", at positions 338 to 795 of the family's 1533-position model. The record is from RNAcentral.